Molecule: RNA transcript, 3721 nt
Organism: Tripterygium wilfordii
Lineage: Eukaryota; Viridiplantae; Streptophyta; Magnoliopsida; Celastrales; Celastraceae
Gene name: pentatricopeptide repeat-containing protein At4g20740
Exons: 2
Source: RefSeq, a predicted model, not a curated record
GAUCCGGGAAACAAAGAGAGCUCUUUAGUGUAGACGCGAUAAUUUACAAUCCAAUGUAAUGCUGAUCAAUUCCACCAACAACCUGCAAAUAACAAGGAGAACCGUCGGAUGAAAACUUGACGCCGGCCGGUAAGCUCCGACGCUCAAGUCAUCGGAAAGACCGAAAGCUUUUAGUCAGGGAAAGUACAAUAAUGUUUAGAGAGAGAACGCACGUGGACGCGGAGGUGGGUGGAAUUCUGGGCCUACGCUUGCUUAUUGAGAUCAUGGGCCUUAUAUGAGAGUUGCCAAGCCCAUGGGCCUGUCGUAUCCUUCGGUAAUAAUCCGGUUUUCAAAACCUUGAUUUUGAAUUUUUGAUAUCUCAAAACGACGUCGAUGGACGACAGAAAAAGUGAAAAACUGGAAGUGUGAAACUGAGAGUGCAGAAAGCAAGCAGCAGAACUAGGGAAUGAAAGUGUGAUAGCGCACGCGAAAACUACCAAGAUGCCCCCUCAAUCUCCACCGGUAAAACCCAUCAAACCAUACUUCUUCUACGGCCAUCGUAAACCCUCCCAGAACCGCCCCACCGUCCGUGGUGGGCUCUUCACCAACCGCCAGUCUCUCCCGGCGAAGCCAACCAAACCCGACAACACAAAAUUCGAGCCCUUUGAUCUCCAGAAAUGGGACCCGCAACCGCACCCCCUCUCGCAAUCCCAAUCCCCGUCAAAACCACUACCACCAACACUUCACUCUCAAGAACGUCUCUCUCCAAUUGCGCGCUUUAUCGUCGACGCCUUCCGCAAGAAUCGCCAUCAGUGGGGCCCGCCAGUUGUAUCCGAGCUCCGCAAACUCCGUCGCGUAACCCCGAAACUGGUCGCCGAGGUGUUAAAAGCGGAAAAUAGCCCCACCAUAGCCUCCAAGUUCUUUCAUUGGGCAGGCAAGCAGAAGGGUUACAAACAUGACUUUGCAGCUUAUAAUGCUUUUGCUUACUGCUUGAAUCGAAAUUCCUUGUUUCGCGCCGCCGAUCAGGUCCCUGAACUGAUGGAUUCACAGGGGAAGCCACCGACAGAGAAGCAGUUUGAGAUUUUGAUCAGAAUGCAUUCUGAUUCGAAUAGAGGGCACAGAGUGUAUUACAUUUAUCAGAAGAUGAAGAAAUUUGAUGUCAAGCCUCGUCUUUUUUUGUAUAAUAGGGUAAUCGAUGCUUUAGUCAAAACGGGUCAUUUAGAUUUAGCUUUAUCAGUGUAUGAAGAUUUAAGGACUGAUGGACUGGUUGAGGAGAGUGUUACAUACAUGAUUUUGAUUAAGGGGCUGUGUAAGGCAGGGCGUAUUGAGGAAAUGUCGCAGAUUUUGGAGAGAAUGAGGGGGAAUUUGUGUAAACCUGAUGUUUUUGCAUACACAGCUAUGAUCAGGGUGUUGGUUUCUGAAGGGAAUUUGGAUGCUUGUUUACGUGUUUGGGAAGAAAUGAAGAGGGAUUAUAUCGAGCCUGAUGUGAUGGCAUAUGCAACUUUGGUGACUGGAUUGUGUAAAAAUAGGAUGGUCGAAAAGGGGUAUGAGUUUUUUAAGGAGAUGAAGGAGAAAGGGUUUUUGAUUGAUAGGGCAAUCUAUGGGGUUUUGGUUGAUGCAUUUGUAGCAGAUGGGAAGGUUGGGCCGGCUUGUGACUUGUUGAAAGAUAUGGUGGAUUCUGGGUAUAGGGCUGAUUUGGGUAUAUAUAACUCAAUUAUUGAAGGUUUAUGUAAUGUUAAGCAGGUUGAUAAGGCUCAAAAGCUUUUUCAAGUUACAGUUCAAGAGGAUCUUGAGCCCGAUUUUGUUACAGUGAAUCCCAUCUUGGUGUCUUAUGCAGUGAUGGGAAGAAUGAACGAUUUUUUGAAGUUGCUUGUGCAAAUGGAGAAGGUGGGAUUUUCUGUUCUUGAUGAUCUUUCCAAGUUCUUCUCUAUUUUGGUUAAGAAAAAAAACAGAGUUACAAUGGCUUUAGAAGUAUUUGAAAAUUUGAAAGGGAACGGUUAUAGUAGCACUCCAAUCUACAAUACUCUCAUGGAAGCUCUCCACGAGACUGGGGAGAUUAAAAAGGCUUUAUCGCUAUUUCAUGAAAUGAAGGAUUUGAAUCUUGAACUUGACUCGUCCACUUACAGUAUUGCGAUCACUUGUUUAGUCGAUGAAGAGGAUAUUCAAGAGGCUUGUGUGUGUCAUAACAAAAUUAUUGAGAUGUCCUGCAUUCCCUCCAUUUCUGCCUAUUGUUUUCUUGCCAAAGGCCUCUGCCAAAUUGGAGAGAUUGAUGAGGCUAUAAUGCUAGUUCGUGACUGUCUAGCCAAUGUUGCUAGUGGGCCCAUGGAAUUCAAGUACACUCUUACGCUUCUCCAUGUAUGUAGAUCAGGUGAUGCUGAGAAGGUGAUUGAAGUGCUAAAUGAAAUGAUGCAGGAGGGUUGUCCCCCUAAUGAAAUUAUAUACUCUGCUGUUAUAUCUGGCAUGUGUAAGCAUGGGACAUUGGAGGAGGCAAGGAAGGUUUUUGCAAAUUUGAGAGAGCGCAAACUGUUGACAGAAGCCAAUUCAAUUGUUUAUGACGAAAUAUUGAUUGAACACAUGAAGAAGAAGACUGCAGAUUUGGUGCUUUCAGGAUUGAAGUUCUUUCAUCUGGAAUCCAAGUUGAAAGCAAAGGGUUCUACACUGCUGUCAGGUUCAUAAUAUGAAGCUAGGUACUGAUCUUGUUGAAAUAGCUGAUCCUCUUUGAGAGAGAGCAAGUUUGAUGGACUUGCUGUUGACCUCACAAAGUCAUAUAAACCUUUGUUAUCCUUUUUUUCAACAAGUAUAGGUUCAUAUCUACAGACACGAACAGCUGAACAUAUAGCUUUUGCAUAGUAAUGUUGCUAAGACACUUGUCAGUGGAUAUGGAUGACUGACGUGUGACAAACCUGUACACCUGAGUAUAAAACUUGGCUACUUAAGGUGACUGAAAACCUUUAUGUUCGUUUUCAUCUUCUGAUAAGGAGCAAUCUCUUUUAUUUUGUGGUUCUCAGUUGACUGAACUGGCCUCAUUGUUCACUUUUCUGUAGCAUGCAUUAGGCUGUUUUUGUAUGUGGCAGAGGAAAAAUUGAAGAAGCAUGAGAAAUUGUCAAUAUAUUACAAACAAUCUUGAAAGACCACUUGGCUUGAAUAUCUUUAUCACUUGAAGGAAGCUUCAGCAACUGAAACAAUGCACUUGAAGAAUAUGAUGGGAUGAUGGAGUGUUUGGAUAUGACGGCUGGGAAUCAUGGGUUUUGCCUUCUUGGUGUCCGUCUCUCGAGCCAAUAAUUGCACUGGAAAUCAGCAGAAAAUGUAUGAUUGAUGAACUUAACCGGCUUGGCAACAUUAUCCCUGCCUAUCGUCUAAGCAAGCUCUAUAAUGCUGGCUUCAUCCUUUGAAGGCAAUCGACUCCAACUUGUAAAUCUCCGGUGGGCCACUGCUUGAGAAUAAUGCCAUAAUGGUAUUGCUUCCGGUCGGAUGGUUACAAGAAUUCAGCUUGAAUAUGUAUUGCUCAACCUCUUAGGAGACUUCAUGCUUGUUUUACUCGUUGGUAACGGAGAUAUCCAGAGGGACAGGGUAAAGUUGUAGUCAGCAAAUUAUGCUCAUAGAAAUCUGGUUGAAGAUGUCUCUGGUUUUUGAUGAUUUUGUGACUUUGUUGCUUGUAGAGUUCGUUAAAGGUGGAUACAGUUCUUUCCAAAGUUAAGAUUGAUUACUUUUCACGUCUUAAUGAGAAAUAAAUAUUACCUAA